GAUGAACGCUGGCGGCGUGCUUAACACAUGCAAGUCGAACGGACAGGCCAGGCUCUUGCGGGGUGCUCGUGUGGCGAACGGGUGUGUAACACGCGAGUAUCCUCCCCUUGUCAUUGUGAUAACUUCAGGAGACUGGGGCUCAUACCGGGUAUGAGCUCCUGCUGCAUGGUGGUGGUUGGUAAGAUUCGGCGGUUGGGGAUUGAUUCGCGGCGUAACAGCUUGUUGGUGGGGUAGUGGCUUACCAAGGUUUUGACGGGUAGCCGGCCUGAGAGGGUGACCGGCCAUAUUGGCACUGAGGGACGGCCCAGACUCCUACGGGAGGGAGCAGGGCGGAAUAUUGCACGAGGGGCGGAAGCCGGAUGCAGCAACGCCGCGUGCGGGAUGACGGCCUUCGGGUUGUAGACCGCUUUCGCCUGUGACGAAGCGUGAGUGAAGGUAAUGUGUAAAGAAGGCCCGGCUAAAUACGGG
RNAcentral lists this ribosomal RNA (468 nucleotides) under uncultured bacterium. RNAcentral describes it as "partial 16S ribosomal RNA". It matches the Rfam family "Bacterial small subunit ribosomal RNA", at positions 28 to 507 of the family's 1533-position model. The record is from RNAcentral.